Molecule: long non-coding RNA, 319 nt
Filed under: Elaeis guineensis (African oil palm)
Lineage: Eukaryota; Viridiplantae; Streptophyta; Magnoliopsida; Arecales; Arecaceae
Description: long non-coding RNA (EGUI_LNC028128)
Source: RNAcentral
UGUUUAUCCAUUAUCCAUUUCAUUAUCUACUAAUUAACUCAUAAGAAUCUAUUAUAUCUAAGAAUUCUACCAUCUAGUAUUUAUUUUUUAAUAACAAUUAACUAUAUUCUAGAAAUUCUAAUACCUACUCAUUAAUCUUUAAUUGAUAACAUUUCAAAUAAUACAAAAGAAAUGAUUAAUAUUUUUAUCUACUCAAGAGCUCACCCAUGGUACCGACCAUCACCUACAGUAACAAUAAGGAAGGAGAGAGAAAAUUUCCCCUUUUUUGCUCUUUUUUUUUUUUUUUCCUUAUCUUUUCUUGUCCUAACCCACUCACACA